RNAcentral lists this ribosomal RNA (711 nucleotides) under uncultured Bacilli bacterium. RNAcentral describes it as "bacterial SSU rRNA". It matches the Rfam family "Bacterial small subunit ribosomal RNA", at positions 67 to 748 of the family's 1533-position model. Lineage: Bacteria; Bacillati; Bacillota; Bacilli. The record is from RNAcentral.
UGAUUGAUGGUGCUUGCAUCUGAUUGACGAUGGAUCACCAGUGAGUGGCGGACGGGUGAGUAACACGUAGGUAACCUGCCCCGGAGCGGGGGAUGACAUUUGGAAACAGAUGAUAAUACCGCAUAACAACAAAAGCCGCAUGGCUUUUGUUUGAAAGAUGGCUUUGGCUAUCACUCUGGGAUGGACCUGCGGUGCAUUAGCUAGUUGGUAAGGUAAAGGCUUACCAAGGCGAUGAUGCAUAGCCGAGUUGAGAGACUGAUCGGCCACAAUGGAACUGAGACACGGUCCAUACUCCUACGGGAGGCAGCAGUAGGGAAUCUUCCACAAUGGGCGCAAGCCUGAUGGAGCAACACCGCGUGAGUGAAGAAGGGUUUCGGCUCGUAAAGCUCUGUUGUUGGAGAAGAACGUGCGUGAGAGUAACUGUUCACGCAGUGACGGUAUCCAACCAGAAAGUCACGGCUAACUACGUGCCAGCAGCCGCGGUAAUACGUAGGUGGCAAGCGUUAUCCGGAUUUAUUGGGCGUAAAGCGAGCGCAGGCGGUUGCUUAGGUCUGAUGUGAAAGCCUUCGGCUUAACCGAAGAAGUGCAUCGGAAACCGGGCGACUUGAGUGCAGAAGAGGACAGUGGAACUCCAUGUGUAGCGGUGGAAUGCGUAGAUAUAUGGAAGAACACCAGUGGCGAAGGCGGCUGUCUGGUCUGCAACCGACGCUG